CUUUCUUCUCCUGAGGAGAGAAUGAUCGGCGGAGCAAUCUGCUGCUUGGGGAUGGGCCUGCGGCGCAUUAGCUAGUUGGUGGGGUAACGGCCCACCAAGGCGACGAUGCGUAGCCGACCUGAGAGGGUGAACGGCCACACUGGGACUGAGACACGGCCCAGACUCCUACGGGAGGCAGCAGUAGGGAAUCUUCCGCAAUGGGCGCAAGCCUGACGGAGCAACGCCGCGUGAGUGAUGAAGGUUUUCGGAUCGUAAAGCUCUGUUGCCAGGGAAGAACGUCCGGUA
This 285-nucleotide ribosomal RNA is filed under the name Paenibacillus borealis. RNAcentral describes it as "partial 16S ribosomal RNA". It matches the Rfam family "Bacterial small subunit ribosomal RNA", at positions 180 to 458 of the family's 1533-position model. Lineage: Bacteria; Bacillati; Bacillota; Bacilli; Caryophanales; Paenibacillaceae. The record is from RNAcentral.